Molecule: ribosomal RNA, 467 nt
Filed under: uncultured bacterium
Lineage: Bacteria
Description: partial 16S ribosomal RNA
Rfam family: Bacterial small subunit ribosomal RNA
Source: RNAcentral
AGUGAACGCUGGCGGUAGGCCUAACACAUGCAAGUCGAACGGCAGCACAGUAAGAGCUUGCUCUUACGGGUGGCGAGUGGCGGACGGGUGAGGAAUACAUCGGAAUCUACUUUUUCGUGGGGGAUAACGUAGGGAAACUUACGCUAAUACCGCAUACGACCUACGGGUGAAAGCAGGGGAUCUUCGGACCUUGCGCGAUUGAAUGAGCCGAUGUCGGAUUAGCUAGUUGGCGGGGUAAAGGCCCACCAAGGCGACGAUCCGCAGCUGGGCUGAGAGGAUGCGCACCAACUCCGGAAGGGAGACACGGAGGGGAAAUAUAGGGGAGGGGGCAGAGGCGAAUACCGGCCAACCGGCGAGGGUAAGAAAGACCUUCGGGGUGUAAGGCCUUUUUGUUGGAAAGGAAAAAAGCCAGUUUAAACCCCCGGUUUUUGACCGUACCCGAAGAAAAAGCCCCGGCUAACUUCGUG